This is a long non-coding RNA of Oncorhynchus tshawytscha (Chinook salmon), 613 nucleotides long. Lineage: Eukaryota; Metazoa; Chordata; Actinopteri; Salmoniformes; Salmonidae. The record is from Ensembl.
GCCCCAAAAAGUUUCUUCAAAGAACUUGUUAGAAGAUGGGUUCAUCGAGGAACCUCCGUUGUUGCUGGACUUCUUCCGGGAACUUCGCAAUUACAACUGAAAACGAUGGUGACAAGUUUGGAUGCGACAACAGUUAAAAAGAUUUCACCGCUCUUCACUCCUUUACUGCACAUCGGCGGAAAUCCAUUUCACCAUGAGAGUGAAAUCCCACUGGCCUUUGAUGGGGAGAACAUCCACACCCUCGAGGACGUCCCCAUGGGACUUGGGGCUCUGCUAGGGCUGUAUUUUUUUAUUUUCCCUUAAAUUUCCAAAAAUGUCAGAAAAACACUUAUGUUGUUAAGUUACUGUGUUCUGGGGAAAAGAGAAGUUGGGUGAAGUUACCAGGGCAGGUCAUAAAGAUGGCAAACUUCCUAACACAACUAAGUGGAUACGAUAUACACACUAAAGCUGAAAAAUCUUUAUUUAGCAUCAAGUCUACAAUGUUGUUAGUUUACCUAUGAUUAAUUUUUAAUAUAUGUUGUUUUUAUUGUACAUCAUUAUUAUUAUUUUAAAUGUCAUGAAAUGCACUUUACAAAGUAAUUUUAUUAUUUAAUAUGGUCUGACAUGUCUGCAG